AAAAAAACAACUAAACAGGUUGUUUGAGAAAGUGCAAACGUAAUGUGGUAAAUGCAAUUACUUUUGCACUUUCUCAAACAACCUGUUUAGUUGUUUUUUU
Pelobates cultripes (western spadefoot toad) is the source of this 100-nucleotide non-coding RNA. NCBI's taxonomy places the organism in Eukaryota, Metazoa, Chordata, Amphibia, Anura, Pelobatidae. The record is from the annotation of a GenBank genome assembly.